Equus asinus (donkey) is the source of this 2084-nucleotide long non-coding RNA. NCBI's taxonomy places the organism in Eukaryota, Metazoa, Chordata, Mammalia, Perissodactyla, Equidae. The record is from Ensembl.
GUAUCUCAUAUAUACGUGGGAGCAACUCAGGGAUGAGUAACUCAAAGGGGUGGCUAGAACUUGGGCUUAUAUAGCUGAUAAAAGAAAGAGAAAAGAACGAGGCCAGAGUCGACGUGAUGAUUACCAUGACCGCCUCAAGGCUGAACUAUGGGCAGAAAUAAAAACCUACAUUUUAACCUUCACUGUCACCAGAUGGCCGGAGAACAACUCGGUAGUAUUUCCCUGCAGUUAGAACAUUUAGAAAGCCCCGGACACAAGAUAAACUGUAGCUGAAAAGGGUGACCAAUCAGAACUGGACUCAGCCUUAACCUUGCGUACUCUGCACCUUUUACCUUUAAAACCUGGCCACCCCAAGACCGAGGCAGCACAGGUGUUAGCUCAGGGCUAAUCUUCCUCAGCAAAAAAUAAAAAAUAAAAGAUAAUUGUAUUUUUCCAACUUGGGGCAUGCCUUCCACAGUCUCCAGUGAUCAAGGCACCUGCGUCACUGAGCAAACCGUGCAAACUUUAAUGAAAAUCCUUUAAACUUCUUGGACUUUUAAACUUCUUGGCUCCUAUCAUCCUCAAUCAUCAGGCAAAGUUAAGAAAGUUAAUGGAAAAACUGGAUUCAAGCAGAAGAAAUCUUAAAUUGCAUGGGGCUAUGUGAAUUGAGGAAGACGUUCUAAUGUUUUGCUUUUCCAGAUUUAAAGAAAUCUUUUCUCUUAAGCUAAAUAUGACUUAUAGCAAUUUGUAAGCAGAAUUGAAGCGUUGAUCUUUUUCUCCCUACCUGAUCCCUCCAGAAUUUGGAAACUCUUGAUAAGUGAGUGUUCUUAUUUUUCAUGGCAAUAUGAUUGUUUGCAUAAGUUCGAAUAGAAUCUGUUAUCCUGAUAGCAGCACACGGCUGGAAACACUGGUUAUAUUACCAAGGCUUUGACUGGAAUGUCAUGUUAAACAAACAAACAAGAAACCCCCAAAACAUGCAUAGACUCGGAUAUGACCAAACAGCUUUAAGGAACAAGGAUUGACUUUAUGGAACAAAUAAAGCCACUUGGAAAUAUUGGCCUGGUACCUUGCUUAUAGGGUUCCCAGCAACCUUACCAGAACAACAGGAGGACUGCUGCUAAGAGAGCAACUUGCUGACAGCCUCCCUCACCUGACUAAGGAUUGCACAGCGGUGUCUGGACGCCACCCUGCCACUGGCAAGCCACAUGAUGCUGACUCAAGCCACCACCUACGUUCAGCCCAUGCUGCACUCUGAUGCCUCCUACACGGGACUGGAUGGGGCCCAAAACAGCCGAGGGGGCACUUGGGCAUCAAGGGACCUGAAUACUCCCCAAAUUGAUCAAAGGUGUCGCCCUGGCAAACCUAUGAUUAAGAGGGGGAAAUGACAAAAGAAAGAGAUAAGAACGAGGCCAGAGUCAACGUGACCCCCUCAAGGCUGAACUAUGGGCAGAAAUAAAAGAUUACAUUUUAACCUCCACUGUCACCAGGACGGCCGGAGACGAUGCGGUCGUUUUUUUCCCUGCAGUUAGAACACUUAGAAAGCCCCGGGCACAAGACAAACUGUAGCUGGAAAGGGUGGCCGAUCAGAGCGGGACUCAGCCCUAACGUUGCAUACUCUGCACAUUUUUGCCUUUCCAACCUGGCCACCCCGAGACCGGGGGGGUGGGAGGCGGGGGGUGCUCACCUAUCAACUUGCGAGUUGAGGCAUACUUCCCUGGUUUGCAAACGUUUAAUAAAGCUUCUCUUUUCUUUAAAACUUAUCUUUGCCUCAUCAAGCUGCUCAUUUGGGUUAACACAGCCUCUUAAAACAAAAGAAACAAAGAAACAAAAAAACCCAUAAGUUUCCAGACAAAUGACAAGACAAAGGGAAAGGACUUUGAGUUUCUGGGGUGGCAAACCGUGGAAAGGUAAAUAUGUGGGGAAUGAUGGAAGAUAAGGGCUAGUCACCAACGUUUGUUGUGCAGAGCCCUCUGGUGCCAGUCUCUGGGCUGAUAAGGGUCUAGAGUUGUCGGGUGAUUAACUUCUGUACAAAUUUGUGUCCUGCUUUUAGGCAAAUAGGGGAGAGGCAGAGAGCUUUUCUCCUGUCUGCUUCAGCUCAAAGUAAU